GUUAAUAAGAAAAAGAAAAUUCAAGCCUUCGCUAAUUCCCAAAUUUCAAGCCUCUGCUAACCGAAUUUUUUCUUCGUAUUUAUUCCACAAAAAACCUCACAUUUAUUCCACCAAAAUUCAGGCCUCUGCUAAUGGAAUUUCUUCUUCAUCCCCAAUUUUCUUCUUCUUCCUCACAUUUAUUCCAACAAAACCCCCAAUCUUCUUCUUCUUCUUCUUCUUCAUUCCAACUGUAUCCCCUUCUCUUUCAGUCAGUAGCUUCGCCGCUUCCUUAUCCGCCGCCGACGGCUUCUGAUGCACCUCCUUCGCCUUCAGAGGCUGCAAUGCACGCGGCUCAUAUCAAGGUAAGGUUUCAUUCCAUCUUCUUCCCUCUCUCAAACCAAGAACCUCACUCAAUCAUCUCUAUUGUAGGACAACCCUACUUGCCAUUUUGAAGAACACUUGGAGCUCUCUUUUGGUGUAAGGUGAACCUUACACCCCCUAAGAUCGAGGAUAACUGAUCCAUGAACUUGCAUCCCUAAGAUCGAGGAUAACCGAUCUAUGAACUUGCAUGUGUAUUGGUGUGCUUAAUUUUGUAUGAACUUGCAUGCCGGUAAUUCUUGUACACUCGCUCUGUUUGCUUUGAGGUAUAAGAGAGGGACAACUACAUUUAUCACCUUAUAUUUCAUUUGUUUUGAUGUAUAAAAAAAUUUGAGCAAGUUGUAUAAUUUUUCGAGCAGCCCCUUAUUCAUUGAGAAAUGUAUAAUUUUAUAUUUAAGAGAGGGUGAUAUAAUUUGAUACCACCUUAUAAGAAGUGGAUAAAUAUAUUAUCCUUCAAACCAAAUAAGAUAUAAUAAAUUCGGUUCACACUUUAAGUGAUAAGUUUAUACCUCAUUAUAUUA
This 878-nucleotide long non-coding RNA is filed under the name Salvia miltiorrhiza (redroot sage). RNAcentral's name for it is "long non-coding RNA (SMIL_LNC010869)". Lineage: Eukaryota; Viridiplantae; Streptophyta; Magnoliopsida; Lamiales; Lamiaceae. The record is from RNAcentral.